CCCCCCCCCCCCCCAAAUCAAGUGACCCUUAGAAAAAUUGCAUGCCACCACCCUUUCCAAAGUCAAAGCCACAUACGAUUAGGAUCUGAUUCACAUUGUUCCAUAUAGAUAUUUAAUUUACUAUGAAAACAACAGGGGCCCACAGCCAGCAGAACCAGUAAAAAGAAACCAGUAAAUGGGAAACUUUGUAUGGGACAUCCUUGGUGAGAAUGGAGCAGUUCUUAUGCAUCUCUGAUAUAGUUAAGUCUAUAAGUUAGACUAUAGUUAAACUCUACCCUGCCUUCUGACAGUUCUUGUUUGUCAGGGGAUAAAUUAAUUUGUAUGUGUUUCAGUUGCUUGGUAAUUUAUUGGCUUAUAGAAUCUUUUUAGGGGAUAUCUUGCAAGAAAGAGGCCAUUUGGCUGUGGGUUUGAAGGAAGCUCCCUGCUUUUGAUCAUAGCUGACAGAUGGUUAACAGUUAACAACAAAUCCUAAGUAAGGAUUAGAAUUUAUUUUUAAAUUAUUUUUGGUAUUAAUGGAAAACAAAGUAUAACAGUAUGACAGUUUAGUUGUGGACCUCCCAAACAUAGAAAAAAUAAAUAAUACUUUGUCAAUGGUAAUUAUAAUUGCAAUGACAAAUUAUAGUUAAGGUUGAAGUGUUCAAGUUGGGAUGUGAUGCUACUACAUUUUUGCCAGGCACCCUGAGAACUUUACUGAGGAAAUAAAAGUAUUAGCAACUAAGCCAGCUCACGCUUUUGAUUCUGGCCACAGUAAUAUGUAAGUGUUACCUGUUGCAGGGAAAAAGCUUAAAAAGCCAAGCAGCUAACAACCAUGGGAGCCCAGGGAAAAUAAAACAGCAAACAAGGAAAUUAAGGAGGUUAUUUAUAGGGGGGGAAAUGUGAAUUAAUCUUGUUUUUAAAGGAAGGAAAGAUAAUGAAGAUAACAGAUCCAAAUGAAGGAAAAGAUCCAAGGGCUAGGACAGGAAGAAAUAAUGGAAAGAAGCAGAAAGUGGAGGAGUACAGUUCUGGAUAUCAUAGGCCUGGAAGAGAAAAUUCCACAAAAGCCAAAAACCUCCCUUUUGUAAUGCCACUUCUAGUAGAAACAGUAGUGGAAGAGCUACUGUAGGAAUUUCAUGACAGCUAGCAACUGAUAGUUCUUAUUCCAGGACUACAUAUUAUCGUGCAGUGCUCAGACGCCCAAAUGAGGAUUGCUCUCCAUUGUAUUAGGUGCUGUAAUAAAAACAAGGAAGACACAGCUUCUCCCCUACUAAACUGUGAGAAUUUAGUCUGGUAACUCUUUGCUGGAAGUUUAAACAUGCCUCCACAGAGACACAGAUACAUAAGAAAGUGUAAUGAAUAAACUAUUAUAGUCAGCUUU
Alligator sinensis (Chinese alligator) is the source of this 1354-nucleotide long non-coding RNA. RefSeq lists it as uncharacterized. The transcript has 2 exons. NCBI's taxonomy places the organism in Eukaryota, Metazoa, Chordata, Crocodylia, Alligatoridae. The record is from RefSeq and is a predicted model, not a curated record.